RNAcentral lists this ribosomal RNA (498 nucleotides) under uncultured bacterium. RNAcentral describes it as "partial 16S ribosomal RNA". It matches the Rfam family "Bacterial small subunit ribosomal RNA", at positions 30 to 523 of the family's 1533-position model. The record is from RNAcentral.
CUUGAACGCUGGCGGCAUGCCUUACACAUGCAAGUCGAACAGUAACAGGUCUUCGGAUGCUGACGAGUGGCGAAAGGGUGAGUAAUCAAUCGGAACGUGCCUAGUAGUGUGGGAUAACUACUGGAAAGAGUGGCUAAUACAGCAUGAGAUCUACGGAUGAAAGCAGGGGAUAGCAAGACCUUGUGCUACUAGAGCGGCCGAGGGUAGGUUAGGUAGUAGGUGGGAUAAAGGCUUACCAAGCUGACGAUCUGUAGCUGGGCGGAGAGGACGAUCAGCCACACUGGGACUGAGACACGGCCCAGACUCCUACGGGAGGGAGCAGUGGGGAAUUUUGGACAAUUGGCGCAAGCCUGAUCCAGCAAUGCCGCGUGCAGGAUGAGGGCCUUCGGGUUGUAAACUGCUUUUGUACGGAACGAAAAGCCCUGGGUUAAUACCCUGGGGUCAUGACGGUACCGUAAGAAUAAGCACCGGCUAACUACGUGCCAGCCGCCGCCGUAA